This 253-nucleotide ribosomal RNA is filed under the name uncultured bacterium. RNAcentral describes it as "partial 16S ribosomal RNA". It matches the Rfam family "Bacterial small subunit ribosomal RNA", at positions 524 to 776 of the family's 1533-position model. The record is from RNAcentral.
UACGUAGGGUGCAAGCGUUGUCCGGAAUUAUUGGGCGUAAAGAGCUCGUAGGCGGUUUGUCGCGUCUGCUGUGAAAACUCGGGGCUUAACCCCGGGCCUGCAGUGGGUACGGGCAGACUAGAGUGCGGUAGGGGAGACUGGAAUUCCUGGUGUAGCGGUGAAAUGCGCAGAUAUCGGAAGGAACAUCAGUGGCGAAAGCGGCUUCCUGGUCCAGCACCGACGUUCAGGCACGAAAGCGUGGGGAGCAAACAGG